UCAAAGCUUUCAUGGUGUGGCC
This 22-nucleotide non-coding RNA is filed under the name Arabidopsis thaliana (thale cress). Lineage: Eukaryota; Viridiplantae; Streptophyta; Magnoliopsida; Brassicales; Brassicaceae. The record is from RNAcentral.